CGACCGGCGCACGGGUGAGUAACACGUAUCCAACCUGCCGAUAACUCGGGGAUAGCCUUUCGAAAGAAAGAUUAAUACCCGAUGGCAUAAUAGAACCGCAUGGUUUGAUUAUUAAAGAAUUUCGGUUAUCGAUGGGGAUGCGUUCCAUUAAGCAGUUGGUGGGGUAACGGCUCACCAAGGCGACGAUCCCUAGCUGGUCUGGGAGGAUGACCAGCCACACUGGAACUGAGACACGGUCCAGACUCCUACGGGAGGCAGCAUG
RNAcentral lists this ribosomal RNA (262 nucleotides) under uncultured bacterium. RNAcentral describes it as "partial 16S ribosomal RNA". It matches the Rfam family "Bacterial small subunit ribosomal RNA", at positions 92 to 353 of the family's 1533-position model. The record is from RNAcentral.